AGCACAAAGGCCUGCAGCUGAAGCUACUUGCGACAGGUGUCAAUCACUUCAUCUGAAUUGACCUACAAGAUUAAAGGGGGAUUAAAAAAAGCACUGUGAUGGGAGUGACGGAGAAGAGCGGGAGAGAGAAGAGAGCAGAAAGGAACGUACUCAGCCACAAACCCUGUCAUUCCAAGGCAUGUCCUACAAUCCAGGAUCCUGGAUGUGGCCACAAUUAUGACAACUGCAAUAAACAGCAGUGAGAAGAAGCAAAGCUGGAAAAAAAAUUAAAAUAAAUCUUGAACAAAAAUUGAAGGAGACAGAGCAGUGGCUGAAGUCUGAGGACCACUUAAUGGCUGGUUAGUACUAAAAACAUAAAAUAUGCAAUAAUAAAUGUAUUUGACAACUCUCAAAACCUAUUGAUGAAACAAAACAUGUUUUGCAUGAGAAGAUGCUGAAACAGAAGUAGACAGCAGCAAGUGUUGUGUCAAACACAAACAAAAGACAUCAUAAAUGUGUCAUUGUCAGAUGCUUAUCAACAUAAAUGUGUCUUUUUUUCAUAUUCUCAUUCAAAACCUCUGCAGAGGGGGACAAGAAGGAAGGUGACACAAGUACAAAACUCAAUCCUGACACAAAUAAGUAAUAGAAUGCAACAAAACAUGAACAAUUUACUCUGUCCAGGGCGUACCCAUAGGGUGUAUCUAUCGCCCUAUGUCAGCUGACAUUGGCACAGCAC
This is a long non-coding RNA of Solea senegalensis (Senegalese sole), 715 nucleotides long. RefSeq lists it as uncharacterized. Lineage: Eukaryota; Metazoa; Chordata; Actinopteri; Pleuronectiformes; Soleidae. The transcript is spliced from 3 exons. The record is from RefSeq and is a predicted model, not a curated record.